UACGUAGGCAGCGAGCGUUGUCCGGAAUUACUGGGCGUAAAGCGCGUGUAGGCGGCCCAGCAAGUCGGAUGUGAAAGCCCUGGGCUUAACCUAGGAAGUGCAUUCGAAACUGCUGGGCUUGAGUUCUGGAGAGGAAGGCGGAAUUCUCGGUGUAGAGGUGAAAUUCGUAGAUAUCGAGAGGAACACCGGUGGCGAAGGCGGCCUUCUGGACAGUGACUGACGCUGAGACGCGAAAGCGUGGGGAGCAAACAGG
RNAcentral lists this ribosomal RNA (253 nucleotides) under uncultured bacterium. RNAcentral describes it as "partial 16S ribosomal RNA". It matches the Rfam family "Bacterial small subunit ribosomal RNA", at positions 524 to 776 of the family's 1533-position model. The record is from RNAcentral.